UACGUAGGGACCAAGCGUUGUCCGGAAUCAUUGGGCGUAAAGAGCGUGUAGGCGGCCUGUUAAGUCUUGCGUGAAAUCUCGGGGGCUCAACCCCGAGCGGUCGUGAGAAACUGGCAGGCUAGAGUGCGGGAGAGGAGAGUGGAAUUCCGAGUGUAGAGGUGAAAUUCGUAGAUAUUCGGAAGAACACCAGUGGCGAAGGCGACUCACUGGCCCGUUACUGACGCUGAGGCGCGAAAAGCGUGGGGAGCAAACAGG
This 255-nucleotide ribosomal RNA is filed under the name uncultured bacterium. Its description in RNAcentral is "partial 16S ribosomal RNA". It matches the Rfam family "Bacterial small subunit ribosomal RNA", at positions 524 to 776 of the family's 1533-position model. The record is from RNAcentral.